RNAcentral lists this ribosomal RNA (253 nucleotides) under uncultured bacterium. RNAcentral's name for it is "partial 16S ribosomal RNA". It matches the Rfam family "Bacterial small subunit ribosomal RNA", at positions 524 to 776 of the family's 1533-position model. The record is from RNAcentral.
UACGGAGGGUGCAAGCGUUAUCCGGAUUCACUGGGGUUAAAGGGUGCGUAGGUGGGCAAGUAAGUCAGUGGUGAAAUCUCCGGGCUUAACCCGGAAACUGCCAUUGAUACUAUUUGUCUUGAAUACUGUGGAGGUCAGCGGAAUAUGUCAUGUAGCGGUGAAAUGCUUAGAUAUGACAUAGUACACCAAUUGCGAAGGCAGCUGGCUACACAAAUAUUGACACUGAGGCACGAAAGCGUGGGGAUCAAACAGG